RNAcentral lists this ribosomal RNA (468 nucleotides) under uncultured bacterium. RNAcentral describes it as "partial 16S ribosomal RNA". It matches the Rfam family "Bacterial small subunit ribosomal RNA", at positions 28 to 507 of the family's 1533-position model. The record is from RNAcentral.
GACGAACGCUGGCGGCGUGCUUAACACAUGCAAGUCGAACGGAAAGGCCCUGCUUUUGUGGGGUGCUCGAGUGGCGAACGGGUGAGUAACACGUGAGUAACCUGCCCUUGACUUUGGGAUAACUUCAGGAAACUGGGGCUAAUACCGGAUAGGAGCUCCUGCUGCAUGGUGGGGGUUGGAAAGUUUCGGCGGUUGGGGAUGGACUCGCGGCUUAUCAGCCUGUUGGUGGGGUAGUGGCUUACCAAGGCUUUGACGGGUAGCCGGCCUGAGAGGGUGACCGGCCACAUUGGGACUGAGAUACGGACCAGACUCCUACGGGAGGCAGCAGUGGGGAAUAUUGCACAAUGGGCGGAAGCCUGAUGCAGCAACGCCGCGUGCGGGAUGACGGCCUUCGGGUUGUAAACCGCUUUCGCCUGUGACGAAGCGUGAGUGACGGUAAUGGGUAAAGAAGCACCGGCUAACUACGUG